UGGGGAAUAUUGCACAAUGGGCGCAAGCCUGAUGCAGCCAUGCCGCGUGUAUGAAGAAGGCCUUCGGGUUGUAAAGUACUUUCAGCGAGGAGGAAGGCGGUAAGGUUAAUAACCUUAUCGAUUGACGUUACUCGCAGAAGAAGCACCGGCUAACUCCGUGCCAGCAGCCGCGGUAAUACGGAGGGUGCAAGCGUUCAUCGGAAUUACUGGGCGUAAAGCGCACGCAGGCGGUCUGUCAAGUCGGAUGUGAAAUCCCCGGGCUCAACCUGGGAACUGCAUUCGAAACUGGCAGGCUAGAGUCUUGUAGAGGGGGGUAGAAUUCCAGGUGUAGCGGUGAAAUGCGUAGAGAUCUGGAGGAAUACCGGUGGCGAAGGCGGCCCCCUGGACAAAGACUGACGCUCAGGUGCGAAAGCGUGGGGAGCAAACA
Molecule: ribosomal RNA, 427 nt
Filed under: uncultured bacterium
Lineage: Bacteria
Description: partial 16S ribosomal RNA
Rfam family: Bacterial small subunit ribosomal RNA
Source: RNAcentral